Long non-coding RNA from Oncorhynchus nerka (sockeye salmon), 2144 nucleotides. RefSeq lists it as uncharacterized. Lineage: Eukaryota; Metazoa; Chordata; Actinopteri; Salmoniformes; Salmonidae. The transcript is spliced from 4 exons. The record is from RefSeq and is a predicted model, not a curated record.
UGUUAGAGCCACCAGCACAAGCACCAGACGAUGCUGAUCCAGUGAGUACUCCAUCAAAGGCAUACUGUAGGCCUGGCAUGUCUUGUCUACUAGCUUCAAUAUGAAUCCGAUUAAAUGUGAUAGGGUGAAGGCCCCAGUACAGCAGCAACAGCACAUGAUGGAGACGAUGAUGAGGAGGAGACCAUCUCUCUGGAUUCCAGAAGGCAUGAGGUAUCAUGUUAAGACUGUGAAAGUACUAUUUACUCUACAAUGGUGAGGAGUCCUCAUCAAAAUCAAAAAAUCUAAUUUCUUUUACAGGACCCAGAUGCUAUACAGUGGGAAAACUAGCCUGGCAACAUAGUGCGUAUUAAUAAAAGGACACCACAUCCUGCCAAAUUCCAGCUGCGCUAAUUGUAUUGUGUUCACAGAGCUCACAAGCUAUCAGAAAGUUGUAUGGCAACCACCUCCGGCGCCAAAUAGAACUGGCAGACAUAGACAUUCAGUACAAGAAGAAAAGAUGGAAAAUCUUGCACUGGAGUCCGAAAUAAAAAAAGAGGACAAUUAGGAAACUGGACCUUGAAAUAAAAAAAAACUUGAGAGGGAGCUCCAAGAAGAUGACACAGCUCAAAAUAAAAAUUAGGUAUAUUCUCGUAAAGUCAAGUGAGCCAUGACAUAUGAGCUCUUAUUGUGAGCACACAGGACGGUGGCAUCUUUCUAAGGUUUUUUUUAUUUUCCCAGCAAUCAGUACAACCAAGUCAUCGUUAUAAGGCAUCGCCCUCUUUUGCCCACCCCCCCAGCACCAGGUGUGGCCACUAGCCUAUAUGAAGGCCCAAAAUUGUGUGUUCCUUUCUGCUCUGACAAUGGCAUGCCCAUUCGUGCGAGAUGUGGUGGAUGAAGAAGCACUUGUGCUGAGGAGAGCCUUCAGGCGAGAAAGGGUCUUCAGGGACCGGUUGGACCCACUGGCCUUCCCUGAUGACCAUCUAUAUGAAAGAUACAUGUUUUCUGCAGAUGGCAUCAGGUAUCUAUGCAGACUACUGGGUCCCAGGAUUAAGCACCGCACUGCACGGAGCCAUGCACUGAGUGUGGAGCAAAUGGUUUGUGUGGCCUUGCGCUUUUUUGCAGGUGGAGCCUUCCUGUACUCAGUGGGGGAUGCUGAACAAGGCCACAAUUUGCCGCACAAUAAGGAGUGUGUGUCUGGCUAUCAAAGCAUUAGCAGAUGUCUUCAUCUCCUUCCCUGGCCACAGAAGACUCUGUGACAUCAAAGAGGAGUUCUAUAGGAUUGCAGAUGGUCUGCAAUGCUGACUGUGUGAUCAGCAAUGUUGUGGCAAAAUGGCCUGGCUCAGUCCAUGACUCCAGAAUCUUUCGGGCCUCUGAAAUCUAUCAGUGCCUAUCACAAGGUGAAUUCUCUGGUGUGUUGCUGGGAGACAGGGGUAUGGCUGCCAGCCUUUUCUCCUGACACCUUUCACAGACCCCCAGGAAGCACAGCAGGCCUACAACCAUGCCCAUGCCAGGACCAGGGCCAGAGUUGAAAUGACCUUUGGCCUCCUGAAGGCACGCUUUCACUGCCUUCACAAAUUAAGGGUCAGCCCUGUUAGGGCAUGUGAUAUUACUGUGGCUUGUGCUGUCCUCCACAAUGUGGCCUGCCUGAGGAAGGAGAGGGCCCCCAGAGUGCCACCAGCCAUGGACUGGGACAAUCCGGCAAUCUUCCCUGAUGACGACAGUGGUCGGCUGCUGAGGGACCAAUAUGUGUUGAAUUAUUUUAGUAUGUGUGCUUUCAAUUUUGGUUAAAUAUGUCCUGCGGUGGCAGAGGAAUUUGGGUUUUUUUGGGUUCGUUUUUUGACGAAUUUGGCCUCUUAUGAUGUUUGUGCGGUAUACUGUGUGUAAUACAAGGCUGCAGGGAGGCUACUGCAUCCAUUCAUUUGUCUGUUCAGUUGAUGUGUAUGGAUUUGUCCUGCAUUUAUUUUAGUGUGCAGACAUGCAGGGUGUGUUAUAUACAGACCUUUGAAUGUGUAUGUAUCAUUUUGUAUAAUAUGCUUGGAUUCUGUGCUUUCCAUCUUGUAGAGUCACUGUGACUUCAGUUUCGAAAGGAGCUGAUGGUUUACCUGCUUUGUUUUGUCCUUAUUCAAUAAAGGAACAUAAUGUUACACAUUGUGUUUUUAUAUUCA